CGUUGGCGGACUUGGCACAACCGCUGCAUUAGCUAAUUCAUCAAUCAUAAAACCCGGUCUUCAACGACGAAGAACAGGUUUCCCGAGAGAACGGGACAAGGACAAAGGCGUCCUCGCUAGGCAACUAGCGGGACGCC
Molecule: small RNA, 137 nt
Filed under: Pseudomonas psychrophila
Lineage: Bacteria; Pseudomonadati; Pseudomonadota; Gammaproteobacteria; Pseudomonadales; Pseudomonadaceae
Description: Pseudomonas sRNA P11
Rfam family: Pseudomonas sRNA P11
About the family: P11 is located between a putative threonine protein kinase and putative nitrate reductase and appears to be conserved in several Pseudomonas species. P11 has a predicted Rho independent terminator at the 3'end but the function of P11 is unknown.
Source: RNAcentral